UACAUAUGUGGUUAUGUAUAUACGUUAACUUGUUAAGAGUUUUUACUAUUAAAUAUGUUUAUUAAAUAUAGAUUAUAUUAGUGUGAAAAUUUAUUUUAUUAAAAGAUUUUUAAUAUGAUUGUUAAACUUGUUUUCAAUAUAUAUAUUUAUACAAUGAAUGAGAGUUUUAUAUAGAUAUUAUGAGUUAUGAUUGGUUAAAUUUGUGCCAGCAGCUGCGGUUAUACAAAUAAUUAAAGUUAAGAGUUUUUGGUGUUAAAAAAAGUUUAGAAAGAUAAGAUUUAUAAAAGGGUUAUGUAGUGUUAAUUUUUAGGUAAAAUUAUUAGAUUAAUAUGUUGAUUUUUUACUUUUUGAAUUUUUAUACUUUGAAAAUUAAAUAAUAAACUAGGAUUAGAUACCCUAUUAUUUUUAUAUUGUAAAAUUUAAUUUGAGUUUGCCCAAAUAUUAUGAUAUAAGUAUGUGUGCAUUUACAUAUGUGUGCAUAUAUGUGUAUGUUAAUAUAUACUUGUGUGUGUGUGUAUGUGUGGGUGUACGGGUGCGAAGAAUUAUUAAAAUUUAAAAAGUUUGGCGGUCUCACAUAUCCAGUUAGGGGAGUUUGUUAAUUAGGUUGAUAAUCCACGAUUUAGACUUACUUUUUUAUGAAUAUAUAUAUAUAUAUAUAUAUAUAUAUAUACAGUUUGUGUAUUGCUGUCGGAAGUUUUUUUUUUAAGAUUAAAAACUGGUAAAUGUUAUCGAUUUAUAUGUCAAGUCAUAAUGCAGUUGAUAAAAAAGGUUUAAUGGGCUACUGUAAAAAAUCUUUUUCCGGAUAAUAGGAUUUAAUUAUGUUAGAAAGGUGGACUUAAUAGUAAAUUACAAUUAGUAUGUUUAAUUGAAUUAUAGGUUUUGUGGGGUGUACAUAUUGCCCGUCACUCUUGUUUUAAGAUAAGAUAAGUCGUAACAUAGUAGAGGUAAUGGAAAUUGUUUCUGGAUAAAU
Molecule: ribosomal RNA, 970 nt
Filed under: Tremoctopus violaceus
Lineage: Eukaryota; Metazoa; Mollusca; Cephalopoda; Octopoda; Tremoctopodidae
Description: 12S ribosomal RNA
Source: RNAcentral